GCUCAGCCCUUAACAUAGACAGUANNNACACAAUAUUGUCCGCCAGAGAACUACAAGUGAAAAACUAGAAACUCCAAGGACUUGGCGGUGCCCCACAUCAACCUAGAGGAGCCUGUCCUAUAAUCGAUAAUCCACGUUGUACCUUACCAUUUCUAGCAACCAGCCUAUAUACCGCCGUCGAAAGCCUACCUUUUGAAAGAAUCAAAGUAAGCACAAUAGUCAAUAACUACAACGUCAGGUCAAGGUGUAGCACAUGAAAUGGAAGAGAUGGGCUACAUUUUCUACCUUUAGAAAACACGAACAGCACAAUGAAACCUGUACUCAAAGGCGGAUUUAGUAGUAAGGCAAAAAAGAAACUCUGCCUUAAACUCGCU
RNAcentral lists this ribosomal RNA (374 nucleotides) under Manciola guaporicola. RNAcentral's name for it is "partial 12S ribosomal RNA". It matches the Rfam family "Bacterial small subunit ribosomal RNA", at positions 830 to 1372 of the family's 1533-position model. The record is from RNAcentral. Lineage: Eukaryota; Metazoa; Chordata; Lepidosauria; Squamata; Scincidae.